RNAcentral lists this ribosomal RNA (73 nucleotides) under Paenibacillus sp. FSL R5-808. Its description in RNAcentral is "partial 23S ribosomal RNA". The record is from RNAcentral. Lineage: Bacteria; Bacillati; Bacillota; Bacilli; Caryophanales; Paenibacillaceae.
GCGUAAUAGCUCACUGGUCGAGUGACUCUGCGCCGAAAAUGUAACGGGGCUAAACACACCACCGAAGCUAUGG